UUGAGAGUUUGAUCCUAGCUCAGCCAAAACGCGUGCGGUAUGCCUAAUACAUGCAAGUCGAACGGAAGUUUGAAUUAGAGAGGCUUUGGUUUCAAAGAUUCAAGCUUUAGUGGCGGACGGGUGAGUAACACGUAAGAACCUACCUUUUGGUUGAGGGAUAACAGUUGGAAACAGCUGCUAAUACUUCGUAUGCUGAGAAGUGAAAGAUGGAAAACCCAUCGCCAAGAGACGGGCUUGCGCCUGAUUAGUUAGUUGGUGGGGUAAAGGCCUACCAAGGCAAUGAUCAGUAACUGGUUUGAGAGAACGACCAGUCACAUUGGGACUGAGACACGGCCCAAAUCCCUACGGGGAGCAGCAGUAAGGAAUCUUCCGCAAUGAGCGAAAGCUUGACGGAGCACUACCGCGUGAAGGAUGAAGGCCUGUGGGUUGUAAACUUCUUUUGUCAAGGAUGAAACUAUGACAGUACUUGACGAAUAAGCAUCUACUAACUCUGUGCCAGCAGUAGCGGUAAUACAGGGGAUGCAAGCGUUAGGCGGAAUUAUUGGGCGUAAAGGGUCUUGAGGUGGCUAGCCAAGUCUGCUGUGAAAGUUCAGGGCUUAACCCUGAAUAUGCGGUGUUUCAUCAUUUAUUGGUGAUAUUACUUUUGUGAGGCUUUUGGUCUUAUACGAGUAAGAAACUAGUUAGCUUGAGUACAGUAGGGGUAGAGGGAAUUUUCGGAGAAGCGGUGAAAUGCAUAGAUAUCGAAAAGAACACCAACGGCGAAAGCACUCUACUGGGCUGAUACUGACAUUCACAGACGAAAGCUAGAGGAGCGAAAGGGAUUAGAUACCCCUGUAGUUCUAGCUGUAAACGAUGAACACUAACUAUUGAACGAAUAAAAACGUGCAGUGGUGAAGCUAACGCGAUAAGUGUUCCGCCUGGGGAGUAUGCUCGCAAGGGUGAAACUCAAAGGAAUUGACGGGGGCCCGCACAAGCGGUGGAGCAUGUGGUUUAAUUCGAUGCAACGCGAAGAACCUUACCAGGGCUUGACAUUUUACUUUCGCCUUUGAAAAAAGGCGUUUUUGUUUUUGGCUCAGCCAGAAACAGGGUAUAAACAGGUGGUGCAUGGCUGUCGUCAGCUCGUGCCGUGAGGUGUCGGGUUAAGUCCUUUAACGAGCGCAACCCUUGUCUUUACUUGGUACACAAAGUAAAGAGACUGCCGGUGACAAACCGGAGGAAGGAGAGGAUGACGUCAAGUCAUCAUGCCCCUUACGUCCUGGGCUACACACGUGCUACAAUGGUCGGGACAAUGAGAUGCAACCCUGCGAAGGCAAGCCAACCUCAAAAACCCGAUCUCAGUUCGGAUUGCAGGCUGCAACUCGCCUGCAUGAAGUCGGAAUCGCUAGUAAACGCCAGUCAGCCACAUGGCGUUGAAUAUGUUACCGGGCCUUGUACACACCGCCCGUCACACUAAGGGAAUUGGGUUGGUCCAAAGUAAUUACCUCAACCUUUUAGGAGGGGGAUUAUCACGGCCGGCCUAGUGACUUGAGUGAAGUCGUAACAAGGUAGCCGUUCUGGAAGGAGCGGCUGGAUUACCUCCA
This 1580-nucleotide ribosomal RNA is filed under the name Kalinella pachyderma. RNAcentral describes it as "SSU rRNA". It matches the Rfam family "Bacterial small subunit ribosomal RNA". Lineage: Eukaryota; Viridiplantae; Chlorophyta; Trebouxiophyceae; Watanabeales; Watanabeaceae. The record is from RNAcentral.